AUGGACGAGUUCAUGCAGUCACAGGAGACGAGCGACAGCAUGGUCAUGUCGACGCAACCUUCUCCCACAUCAAGGGCCUCUCCAACCAAAAUAUGUGCCAUGGUAGACUCCCUUGAUACAUUCAAGAAAUCUCUGGUUGAGGAGAUGGAGUCUGGAGGCAUUUUGCACGUGCCACAUAUAUCUAGGAUGAAUUUGAAGUUAAGCAUAUGGUUGAUGUCUAGAGUAGACGAAGUAUCUAGGACCAUAUACAUUCGGCCUGGUCGGCAAAUGUCCUUCAGGGCAUCCGACGUGCACAAGGUUUUUGGUGUACCAUGCGGUCCUUUGCAUAUACAGAAAGCGUCCGCCUUAGACACAACACAUAUGCGCAAUUUUAUGCAUAUCAGUCAGCACGGGAAAAAUCUUCUCACUGUCGUAGAAAAAAUCAUCUAUAGACCGUUAGACAAAGAUAGCUCGGAUAGGGAGAUUAGCUCUUUCAAAAUGGCUUUUGUCAUGUUUGUUGUUGGUUAUCUGCUAACCCAAUCACCUAGCCAUGAUUGCACAAACACACAGUACUGGGGCGCGCUUGCGCAAAUAGAUCACGUCGCAGAGUUCAACGGGUGCGAAUACCUGUUAGAAGAGCUGAUGGCUGCAUGCUUAAGAGUGAAGGCAGAUAUCAGGGCAGGACGGGAUGUCACGUAUCUGCAUGUCUGCCAUUUAUUUCUGCAGGUUUUCUACCUAGACAACCUUGAUCUUGGAUCACUAAACCUCUCGCACAAUACAUUUCCACGAAUAUCUGCAUUUGACGAAACGCAAUACAAGCGUAUGUGGGUACAAUGCAACGUGGGGCAUUUUAAAGGGACACCAGACUUCUCCGGAGCAAUGAUUCGGUCUGCGGACCAGGUCUGCUAUGCCAGGAGCGCGUGGGACACCCCUUCGGAUCCGGUGCCCUGCGACAACAGCAUGUUCCCCGGGCGACUAGCAUGUUUCAACAACACCGUGCCUGGCUCCAGCCGGCCUCACGGUGCCCCCCUCUUCACCAAUGCACAGCCGAUAUCGUUUAGGCUGCCACAUGGCCCACACGGGGUCCCACCCUCGCCAGCGACUCCAGCGCCUACGUUCACGCGGGCAGCCACGGCCGGUGACUUUCUCAUGUACAUGAAGGCAAAUUACCCAAAGUUGGCCACCUCGAAGAUCGGCAUGCUGAUGAAGAAGCAUAACGCCACCACAUUUAGGCUCGCUAAUAGUCUUAAGACAGAUCUGUUUGCCGAGGACACCGCUUUUCUGAACGCACUCGUUAGCGAGCUUGGCGAGGGCUGCAUAUGUUGCAGCCUACGUACUCUGCCAUGCAUCAUUAACAAUCCACCAAGUCCCGACUCUCCAUGCUGCACCAAUAUUUACAGGCGCAAAUUGGAUAUGGCCGACUCCGAUGGAGAAAUCUUCGCAGGACACCACCAGCGGGGAUCGUGCAGGUUUUCUCACGCCAGUACCAUCCAAGAGCCUGGUUAUCGCCCAAUCUUCAGCAGACGAACAGAAAGGAUAGUGGGACGGGCUUGCAGGUUUAAUUAUGAUGCUGGACGGCGAGGCCACACACACCGCCGGGACAGUGGUUUUUGGUCAGGCAUCUCGUGA
This 1608-nucleotide ribosomal RNA is filed under the name Triticum aestivum (bread wheat). RNAcentral's name for it is "partial small subunit ribosomal RNA". Lineage: Eukaryota; Viridiplantae; Streptophyta; Magnoliopsida; Poales; Poaceae. The record is from RNAcentral.